UCUAGGGUACAAACCCUAGAAUGGGGCACGAGUCCCACCCUUUAUAAAUACCCUAAUCAUUUAUGAUGGGAGGGAUGGAGUAAGACAUUACAAGAAAAAGAGCAUUAAAUAGCUCCAAAUUCUCUCUACUUUUUCUCUCUAACCUUUUCCGUUUCCGAUCACUAACUUGAUCGUCGGAGGCGAAUAUUCCGACAACCGGAACAUUCGUUGUUUUACAGGUCGGACAGACUCGUUAUCAGUAAAGCGUGACUAGUAUCCGAGGAAAUCUAAAAAACACCCAAAACAAAAAUCAUUAAUUCCUUCCGUCAAUUACAUAUUUAACAACCAUUAAUUCACGUCCCUCCAAAUAAUGAAUAAAAUAAAAUAUACAUCCACUCCACCAAUCCUCCAUCAGCCAUUCAACAUAUCUUUCAACCUCUAAUUUAUUUAUUCCCCUUUUACCGAACAAAAAAAGCAUAAAUCUCAACCAUAAGAUAUCAAUAAACAUCUACCAUUACUUUUAAUACCGACGUACUAGUUACAUUAGCAGUGGGCACUUGGCAUCUUGUCUAUUGGCUGUAACAAGAAGGCAAUUAUCUAAACUUUGUUCAAAUAACCAUUGUUUUCUUGUUCAAUUUAUGUUUCAAAAAUAGAAACUCCAAAUUUAUGAAAAGCAUAUUGAAAAUAUGAAGAUUUUCGAAGAAGAAUACUUGGAUUUUGUAUUAGUUCCAUUAGGAUUACUAAUCCUGGGAAUAUAUCAUUCAUGGCUUGCGUUUACAAUGAUUAGGCGUCCGCUAAGAACGGUUGUUUGCCUUAAUACCAUCAUCCGACACCAAUGGGUUCACCACAUGAUGAAGGUUAGUUCCUUUCUCUUCUCUAUUAAAAAAAGAAUCAUUUAUGAUAAAUUGUAUAAACCAAUACCGAGCUUUAACAAUCAAUCGUUGAGGUACACUCCAAUUUCAGAUAUUUUUUUGUGUGUUUGUAUUACGAUUAUUUGUAUGAUAAUUAUUCUCUCUUGAUAUAAUUAGUAAUUUGGUACGACUAUGCUUAGAUUUGUUUCAUUUAUUUAUAACGCUUUACUUUUAUGAGUUUAUCAAUGAGGUUGUUGCGAUAAUACUUAGAUCACUCUUAAUUGGAGUGGACUACUGGGACAAAGUAUCAUCAAUCAUCAUCAAGUUGUUGACCUACAAAUCAAGUACUUUAGUCCACUUAAAGUCUUAAACAAAAUUAAUCUAAUUGAUGUAGUAGUCUAACUUGAACACUAUUAAACUACGCUAUUAAUUAAUUUAGUUAUUGAUAUGUAGAUAUGUCAUUAAUGUAAAAUGGAUAGACAUGAUUCUGAGCUAUAAAUUUUGCACCUAAAAAAAAAACCACAGAGCUAUAAAUUUAUUUAUUUAUUAUUUUAUAUUAUUUAUUUGUAGUUCUAUUUUAGCAAGUUUCUGCCUUUGUUAAAAAAAAAAAAAACAAAAAAAAAAAGUUAGAUUUUGCUGAAAUUGUGGGUGAUUUUUAUAGAAAUGGUUGGAAAAGUUGUGAAUUCCUAGAAUUUAUCACUUUUUGAUAAUAUAUUCCGUACAUAUUGUCCACGUUAUCAUUUUUUUUACUAGUUUACAACAAAACGGUCAAUUAGCAGUUUUAUUAAAAGAAAACCGCUAAGCGGUUUCAAUUAUUUUGUUUUGUGUACAUCAAAUAUAAAUAAGUAAACCUCUAAUUCAAUAAUUGCUUGAUUUUAUCCUAAAUAAAGUAAACCGCUAAGUAAACCGUCCAUGUCACUAUAAAAUUGCUUGAUUUUGUCCUAAAUAAAGGAGGUAUUCUAAAGGGAGGGUUGAGAGAGAUUUAAAAGUAUCUCACAGGGGCAGGUUGGUCAUUUCACGCGGGAUUUUAAUUUUGUCAUUAUAGAUUCAGUGGUACAAAAUAUACUUUCACUGGUACAAGAUAUAAUUUCAAUGGUAUUUCAAAAAAGGUUCAAAUAUCCCAUUAAUGUGUCAAUUUAUAUAUUGGAGCUUCACUGAUACAAAAUAUACUCUCAGUGAUACACAAUACAAUUUCAAUGGUACUUACAAAAAAUGCUCAGUGGUACAAAAUAUUCUCUCACUAGCUGUGGUCUCAAUACAUUUUUGUCUUUAUUGCACGUGAAACCAUUUCUGACCUUUUAGGUGGACCCCACCCAACCUUUUUUCACUCUCUCUAUAUCCCUCUUCCUUUCUCCCUCUUCCUAUUACAUUUGUUACAUUUUUUUAUGUUGUGAGACAUUUUCAUUGUCUCACAACCCUACAUUUAUACUUCCUCUAAAUAAAGUGCCUAAAAACUCUAAUACAUAACCAAGUGUGGCCAUGUGGGACUAUAAAGUACUAAGAGUACCAAAAUAUGGACUCCGUAGUUGAAAGGAAGUGUAGAGUUUAGAUUAACAUAGAAGAAAUAUGUGAAUGUCAAAUAACUUAGCUGGUUAAAUCCUACAAGUGUUAUGUCUAAGACGGUAAGACCUAGGGUCAAAUCUGGCCUAAAUGACCGCACUUAUGUAAUCUUACCUCAAACAUUCGUAUUUCUUAGGAUCAAGGAAAGUAUGGUAUUCUGGGAGUACAAACAAUUCGGAACAACCUAAAGGCGGCUACAGUUUUGGCAUCAACUGCAAUAACAUUGAGUUCCCUAAUCAGUGCUAUUAUGAGCAGCACAAGUAAUCUGACCUUUACAAUACAUACAACCAAGUAUUUAUCAGUUCUAAUAUGCUUCCUUGUAGCAUUCUUCUGCAAUAUGCAGAGCAUCAGAUACUAUGCCCAUGUUAGUUUCUUGCUUAAUGUACCACCACCCUCAGUCGACGAAGAUAGAGAAGAGUUCGUUGAAUAUGUAUCCCAACAAUUGUACCGCGGCAGCCUGUUUUGGUCUCUUGGUCUGAGAGCUUUCUACUUCUCUUUCCCCCUUCUGCUCUGGAUCUUCGGCGCUAUUGCAAUGUUAGCUUCUAGCUGCUUGUUGGUAAUUUUGCUCUGUGGCCUCCUCUCAUUGGUCCACGUGUCUAGCGUAUUAUCACCCUAAACAUUUGCCCCUCACAGGUCGCACAUGCAUAUCACGUAGGGCCUGUGACACGUGUCCACCUCUCAAAGGCGAACAAUAACGGGUAAAAAAUUUGAAUUUCAAAUCAAAGAUUUCCCCCUGCUUUCACUUUCUAUAAAUAGAAAGUUACCCCCCCUUUUCUCACCUUACAUUAACAUUUGACUUUUUAGAGAGAGAAAAAGAGAGAUUGUAGAGAGAAGUUCUCUGCUUUCGUCUGCGUCAGAGCAAGUUCAAGCUUCCGAGUGCUAGUAGUUCAACACCUAGUUUACCGGCUGUAGCGGUUUUCAGAUUUUUCAGAGAAAAAGCGAGGUAACCGCCUGUACCAUUUUAGCUUUCCUCCCUUUCAAUUUGUAUACCAUUUUUUCUCCUCCUGUAUACCUAGCUUUUUAGGGAAUAUAAAUGUGUUCUCAAUCCACUCACUCGGCACUGCCUAGGACACUUAGCCAAUCCCCCGGAACGGUUGAGUCUAGAACAGGGGGUGCCUUUUCUGGACUGUCGGAACCAAUAUUCUCAUCUCCGAAUUCCUCCCUCUCUGCGUCUGUGCAGGACACAAUGGCCAGAACGAAACAAACGACUAGACGGUCGAAGAGCCGGCGCACUAUGACAGUGCCAGCCGAUGAGGUUUUCCCAGACGGGGAACAGAGGGAUUGGGAGGAGAGCGGAUCUAACGAAGAGGAUCCCUCUACUUCCGGGAGCUCCGGGGUACGAGAGGUAGGCGGCGAGGGUACCGCCUCCUCUAAUGAAGUCGGCAGCGCUGAAGUCGGUGAAGGGUCAAGGGCCAAAUCUUCCGGCUCUGACCAAGAUAAUUUUGCGGCUGACUAUCAGCAGCCGCCUAAGGUCGCUGACAACCCCAACCCUAAAAGGACCCGAAUGCUACCGGCUAACAUCGCCCUCCUCAAGAGCGGAUUCAGGGCUUUCAAGGAAAAGCACCCCUUUAGAAGGGGUUGGGAGAUUAUCGUUCCUCCGGCUCACGCCGUAAUGGCUUGGGGCGAUGACAUAGACCAUGCAGACGACUACUUCAUCUGCUACGAGGCGGUUAUCGAAGCCGACCUCCGGUUCCCCCUCCACCCCGGGAUUAGGAAAAUCCUUAAGGGGUACGAUGUAGGAGUUUGGCAGCUCACCCCCAACUCGUGGGUGAAUAUUCUUAGUUACAUCGCCGCCUGCGAGUUUCAAAAUAUAAACCCCAGCUUUUCCGCCUUCGCUGAUAUGUACUACUUGAGCAAGGCCCCAGGCGGCCAUGGGGCAUGGUGUACUCUAACUACCUUGCCCCAAUACUUGAUGACUUUGGACAAAGUGUCCAAAUGGUCCGGGUGGAAGCACAAAUUCUACUUGAUUUCUACCCCCACUUUAAGACACAACCGGACACUGCGCCGGUACAAUACUGAGCCGGCUCUUCUAGGCCGGAAAUGCCCUCUCCCUGCGCUAUCUACUAAGGUCCGGGAACAAAUAAUGGAGUCGGGAUUUUGUGAAACAACAACUGAGUCCAUGGGGGAUGGGACUCACAUCAUAGUUCCCAAAAACUGGAUUCCCCAUCUAGACUUCUUUAAGGACGAGUGCUUCUUGUCCGCCUGCGGUCUGAGUACUAUGUUUCCCAGGGGUAGAUCACUUCUCAUCCGGAAUGAUUGUUAUUUUACUUCAAUUGCAAAGUUGCCAUAAUUUUUCUAACCAUAAAUUCUUGUUCUUGCAGACGACGCCCUGAGAAUGGUCGUUCCGGCGAAGACUCCGGCUAAGUCUGCGGCGCUGCUGCGCAAGGAGGCUGCGCUUGCCAAGAAGGCAGCCGUUGAAGCCAAAGACUCCAAAAAAGGUUGGGUAAGACCGUUUGACUUGAUGUGUUUGCAUUUUUUUUUUCUUUUUUUACAAUUUUCCAGUUAGGUAUACUUACCCUUUGUUUAUUUCUUAGGAUUCCGUCAAGAAGAUUCCACGAUCUUUCUCCAAGCUGCUCAAAAGGCAAGGAGACGAUCUGGAGAAAACUCCGGCUGCGAAAGCUGCCAGGAAGGGCCCUCCUCCUCCCUAGAAACAAUCAUCUACCCAAUCCGAUCGUCCAACGACCGGGGGCAAAUUGUCUGCUGCGAUGAGAAAAAUGAGCGAAAGCUCGGAACGCUCGCAGCAGAAAGCGCCGGAUGUCUCUACGACAUUGAAGGGUGGCGAGCCACCUAAUGUUGCAGGUAGUGCGGCAACGCCUGGGGAGGAGCAGAAGCCGGAGACCCAUCCGGAAGCCCAAGGUAAGGGACGGAUUGAAAUACCUUGGCCACUUGAUUUUAUGAGAAUUAAGACAAGGGUUGAUCCCUCUAAGGGGUCGGUCAGUAGCCGGCAACGAAUGAAUGCCGACUACGCUGCCUCUAUCUCACAGAGUACUACUUUUGAUGAAGAUCUGACCUCUGACGAGCCGGAUCUUGCGGGUUUCGCAAAACGGAUGGUGAGGACCCUCACCCGGUCUGAGAAGAACUCCAAACCUGAUCUGCAGGUCGUGGACUUCGACCGGAUAAUAGGCCAACUGGAUGAGGUGAUGGUAAGGGUGGAUGGCUUCCGGGGCCCCUUCAGGCGGAAACAGGAAGAGGUAAAUGACGCCAAACGAAGGGCCCUUGAAAACCUCAACUCUGCUGAAUAUACUGAUUAUAUGUGUAAUGUAAAGAUUAAAGCAGUAGAGUUGAAACAAGAGGAGUUGAUCUGGAGUUUGACGGCUGCGAACGACGAAGCUAACAGCCGGGCUGAUGACCUUGACAAGAAACUAAAGGAUGCCAAAUCAGAUCUCAAGGCAUUAGAAGAUGCUGAUAAGGAAAAUGCCCAACUCCGAGCAGACGUUACCCGCCUGGGAGUUGAGCUUUCAAUCUGCGAAACAAGCAGUCGGACGAGCUUGCCCAUGAGCAAAAACGGCUGAUAGAGGAGAAUGAGAGAGACAACCUGGCCCGGCUGAAGAUCAACUGGAGCCUUCUUUAACUAAAAAUAGACUUUGACGUCUAUAAGCUGAGGUAUGAUUACGCCACUGAGGUGUACGAUGCCCAACUACUGGGUGAUGCUCCACCGCCUCGCUUUAAAGAUUGGGUUGCUGAGCAGGGAUAUGAAGUCUCUGACAACGAGGAGGCGGCGGAUGAGCAUAACGAGGGCUAAGCCAGUCAAACUCAGUCGGAGCAGCAGCCACCUCAGCCUUAGGCAGGCCUCUCUACUUUCUGCGGCAGUAUGCCAUUUUGUUUCUUUACCGGCUUGUAUGCCGUGUAUUGUUGUAUCUUUACCAACUAAGGAGUUGGGUUAACAAUUUAUUUUUUGUUUCUUUACCGGAUGUAACUCCGGUUAACACAACUUAUGGCCUUCGAGCCAUUUUUAAUAUUUAAUGAAGUAUUCCGACUCAGUCGGUUAUUUAUACCUGUUUGUGUUUGAGUUUUUCAAUUUGAACUUUGCGUAUGUUUGCAAUUCUUUAAUAUUUUGCCUAACUUAAAAAAGCAUGCGGCAGUUUGCAAUCUAAGUGCUCUUGCCCCUGGGCGGCUGUGUGGUUGGUUUUAUUCUAAAUUGAUUGAUUGGCUUGAAAACACUUGAUACUAGGAAAAGUAUGGAGUGUUUUUAGGCCAAUCAAUCACAAUAGUGAUUGCCCCAAACCAAGUCCACAACCGGCCAUUAGAGCCGGUGCUUUGAGCUUCUUAUCCAGGCGGUUAUAUUCCGUCUGGGGUUAACCCGCAGCCAUUACACAUAAUCUCUUGCCCCAAUAGGGGAAGUGAGUGCAACUUUGGAAUAAAUAACCUAAGUGAGAACUUCAGCCGAUGACCGACUGAUGCCUCAAGGCAUCCGGUAUUCGGUAACUUAAUCGUUCUUUAGAUUAUUCUGGUCAGACGGCUAUGAGUUGACCAAUUUGGUCGUUCAAUUUUCACCAUCUGCGUUGGUAUAUAGAACCGACGAAUAGUCCGUUCUCUGCGACGAUUGCACCCGGAGGGGUGUCGCCGGACGCCUUUGUCCAUGUUGGGACAGGCGGUUUUGUAAAAUGAGCAACCAUCCAGCCAUAUUUGCCUUUGCUCUUGUUUGAGACCGGUUGUAUAGCCACUAAGCGUUUUUGUGCCUAGUUUUUACGCGAACUUAGUUGGUUGAACAAAUAAUCCGUCUGAGUAUUACCCAGACGGACAAGCAAUUGAUAAUUUACACCAAGUAUCGAACGUAAUUAAAUAAACAAAGAGUCUGUUUGAGCUUUACCCAGGCGGACUAGCAAUUAUAAGAUUACACUAAGUAUCAAACUUAGUUAUUCAAACAAAGAGUCCGUCUGAGUUUUACCCAGGCGGACAAGUAGUUAUAAUAUUCAACUAAACUAAGUAUCAAACUUAGUAAGUUAAACACACAGGGUCCGUCUGGGUAUUGCCCAGGCGGACGAACAAUAAAAAUGGCAAAAUAAAUCUGCAAACAAAGCCUGAAUUUUCAUUAAUUGACUUACUGUUUACAAAAAUUAUACAUUCUCAGAAGUAGUACUUUUUUAGGUUGUCUACAUUCCAAGUUCUAGGCAGGCGGCGACCGUCUAGGGUUUCCAGACGGUAGGUGCCGUUCUUGACUUCUUCAUAAAUCCGAUAAGGGCCUUCCCAUUUAGGGUUAGCUUCCUAGCCUCAUUAGCCCUACCGGUUGCCUCCAUUUUUCGUAACACAAAGUCAUCCACUUUCAGAGGGAGCUUUUGCCCUUUCUUGUUAUAUGCUCUGGUCAUUAUGAGACGGUAUAUCUCAUGGCGCAGGGAAGCGUUGCCCCUGCGUUCCGGGAGGGAGUCUAAUGCCAGC
RNA transcript from Chenopodium quinoa (quinoa), 7766 nucleotides. RefSeq lists it as uncharacterized. The record is from RefSeq and is a predicted model, not a curated record. NCBI's taxonomy places the organism in Eukaryota, Viridiplantae, Streptophyta, Magnoliopsida, Caryophyllales, Amaranthaceae. The transcript is spliced from 2 exons.